GAGGAAAGUCCGGGCUCUAUUUAUAAAACUAUAGCUGUAUAAAAUACAGUGUAGGUAACUAUAAGGAUCGUGCCACAGAAAUAUACCGCCUUUUGUUAGGUAAGGGUGCAAUGGUUCGGUAAGAGCGUGCCAGAAAUGUUGUUGAAAUGUUUGCUAGGUAAACCCCGUAUUUGAGCAAAGAUGAUAUUUGUUAUCUUAAGUGUAAAAUUUUAUAAGUUUUACCUGUAUUUUAAUUGACGAUAUAUACUGCGUAAGGUAAUUCAUUUACUAAAGAUUAAUAAUUACCCUUUUCAACGUAAAAUUUUGCUUUUGGGAAGAACUGAACCCGGCUUAU
Molecule: RNase P RNA, 334 nt
Filed under: Polysiphonia sp.
Lineage: Eukaryota; Rhodophyta; Florideophyceae; Ceramiales; Rhodomelaceae
Description: rnpB
Rfam family: Bacterial RNase P class A
About the family: Ribonuclease P (RNase P) is a ubiquitous endoribonuclease, found in archaea, bacteria and eukarya as well as chloroplasts and mitochondria.
Source: RNAcentral